RNAcentral lists this ribosomal RNA (114 nucleotides) under Triticum aestivum (bread wheat). The record is from RNAcentral. Lineage: Eukaryota; Viridiplantae; Streptophyta; Magnoliopsida; Poales; Poaceae.
GGAUGCGAUCAUACCAGCACUAAAGCACCGGAUCCCAUCAGAACUCCGAAGUUAAGCGUGCUUGGGCGAGAGUUGUUUGACGUUUGCGAUAUGUUUAAGCUCGAUGCUCAUUGC